AGCAGCCGCGGUAAUUCCAGCUCCAAUAGCGUAUAUUAAAGUUGUUGCAGUUAAAAAGCUCGUAGUUGAAUUUCGGGAUCAGUGGGUCGGUCGUGCCAAUGGUAUGUACUGGCCCUACUGGUUCCUCCUUCUUGAAGAACUGUAAUGCCAUUAAUUUGGUGUUGCAGGGAAACAGGACUGUUACUUUGAAAAAAUUAGAGUGUUUAAAGCAGGCAAUCGCUUGAAUACAUUAGCAUGGAAUAAUGAAAUAGGACGUUCGAUCCUAUUUUGUUGGUUUCUAGGAUUGACGUAAUGAUUAAUAGGGAUAGUUGGGGGCAUUAGUAUUCAAUUGUCAGAGGUGAAAUUCUUGGAUUUAUUGAAGACUAACUACUGCGAAAGCAUUUGCCAAGGAUGUUUUCAUUAAUCAAGAACGAAAGUUAGGGGAUCGAAGACGAUCAGAUACCGUCGUAGUCUUAACCAUAAACUAUGCCGACUAGGGAUCGGAUGAUGUUAAUUUUUUAAUGACUCA
This 508-nucleotide ribosomal RNA is filed under the name uncultured Glomus. Its description in RNAcentral is "SSU rRNA". It matches the Rfam family "Eukaryotic small subunit ribosomal RNA", at positions 569 to 1078 of the family's 1831-position model. The record is from RNAcentral. Lineage: Eukaryota; Fungi; Glomeromycota; Glomeromycetes; Glomerales; Glomeraceae.